GCUGAGGUAGCUCAGUUGGCAGAGCGCGUCUUUGGUAAAGACGAGGUCACGGGUCCGAUUCCCGUCCUCAGCUC
This 74-nucleotide transfer RNA is filed under the name Microgenomates group bacterium ADurb.Bin219. Its description in RNAcentral is "tRNA-Thr". It matches the Rfam family "tRNA". Rfam says of the family: Transfer RNA (tRNA) molecules are approximately 80 nucleotides in length. Their secondary structure includes four short double-helical elements and three loops (D, anti-codon, and T loops). Further hydrogen bonds mediate the characteristic L-shaped molecular structure. tRNAs have two regions of fundamental functional importance: the anti-codon, which is responsible for specific mRNA codon recognition, and the 3' end, to which the tRNAs corresponding amino acid is attached (by aminoacyl-tRNA synthetases). tRNAs cope with the degeneracy of the genetic code in two manners: having more than one tRNA (with a specific anti-codon) for a particular amino acid; and 'wobble' base-pairing, i.e. permitting non-standard base-pairing at the 3rd anti-codon position. The record is from RNAcentral.